GGUCGUCACUAGGGCUCGCGCGUCUUCCUCCUGCCUCCCGCUCCUCCUCACCUUUCUCCUGCCGCAGGCCCGCAGAGUCGCCUUCCUCCUGCCUCCCUUCGUCGUCUCUCUCGCCCUCUCACUCUCCUCCUUCCUUCGUCGUCUAGCUCCUCCUCUCACUCUCCUGUUCCCCUCGUCGUCUCCCUCGCCCUCUCACUCUCCUGCUCCCCUCGUCGUCUCCCUCGCCCUCUCACUCUCCUGCUCCCCUCGUCGUCUCUCUCACCCUCUCACUCGCCUUCUCCCAUCGUCGUCUCUCUCACCCUCUCACUCGCCUUCUCCCAUCGUCGUGUCCCUCUCACUCUCCUGCUCCCCUCCUCGUCUCUCUCGCCCUUGCUGAAGAACAAGUCUUCCGUCUCUUCCUCUCUCGUUUGUGCAGCGGCUUCCGUGUGGGGAAACAGGGAUUCCGUCUACUGUGAGCAGAUCUGCAGCGCUUUCGUCGAACGGAAUGCAGAUUGGGACGCUCUUGAUGAUUUUGCUUGCAUAAUGAAGGGAAAGAAUUGAGUGGGCAAAUAUGUCAGAUUUGUGGUGAUGGGAUUGAGAAAACAGUGGAUGGAGAGCCUUUUGUGGCCUGUAAUGAAUGUGCCUUCCCCGUCUGUAGGACUUGCUAUGAGUAUGAAAGGAGAGAGGGCACUCAGGCGUGCCUGCAGUGCAGGACUAGAUACAAACGUCAUAAGGGUAAGUUUCCAUUAGUUCGCCUUUUCUUCAGCUUAUAUGUCCAGCUGAUAUGUUGCCUUCUUGAAAUAAGUUCCACUGAUUUAUAUGUUAUUCUGAUCCUCGAAGAAAAUGCGCAAGUCCAGUAAGCAAAGUUAAUGACAAAAUUCAGUUCCCUUUGCUGCUGGAAAUGCAGAGGUGUAGCCGUGUAGGAUGAUACAAGGCCCUGUGUGUUUCAGUUUGCCUGAGAAAAGUAAGAAUAGUGGCCAAUUGCGGAAGAUUGUUUAGAAAGUUUACUUGCAUAACCAGAAGAAAUAGCCUUCUGUCCUUGUAACAAUUCUGGAUUAUUUAAAAACAAUGUUGUUUUCUCCCUUGUUUGCUGAAUAAUUAUUGAGAUUUGAUGAA
Molecule: RNA transcript, 1095 nt
Organism: Nymphaea colorata (pocket water lily)
Lineage: Eukaryota; Viridiplantae; Streptophyta; Magnoliopsida; Nymphaeales; Nymphaeaceae
Gene name: cellulose synthase A catalytic subunit 6 [UDP-forming]-like
Exons: 3
Source: RefSeq, a predicted model, not a curated record